GGAAAUGUUCCAGCAGCUUUCCACAGGUUCAGAUUCUCCAAUAAAACCCUCAUCAAGUAAACCGCCAGCAGUUUCUUCAGAUAAAUCGUCAUCCAAACCCAGUCUUAAAGGCAAAGCCAAAUGGGCAGACAUGGCGUCCUCCUCUUCGUCAACAUCAUCAUCUUCCCUUGUUUCAAGUAAAGAUAGCAAUGAUGAUAUUCUUCAAUCAAUAAUAAUAAAAAGUAAAGCUGACAACAAAGAAAAAGGAAAAGCAAAGUUAAAACAAAAAAGCAAAGUAAAAAGAAAAGAAAAGAAAGAGGACACUUCGUCCUCAUCUGAUUAAAAGGCAGAAGGAACCUUAUUCCUUCACGUGUCUCUACAGUAAAAGGCAAGCUCCAAUGGCCGACCAAGCACUAUUUCUCUACAGUAAAAUUCCGUGGCAAACAGAGUAAUGUGCAUCAAC
This 442-nucleotide long non-coding RNA is filed under the name Jatropha curcas. RNAcentral describes it as "long non-coding RNA (JCUR_LNC000707)". Lineage: Eukaryota; Viridiplantae; Streptophyta; Magnoliopsida; Malpighiales; Euphorbiaceae. The record is from RNAcentral.